This 405-nucleotide ribosomal RNA is filed under the name uncultured bacterium. RNAcentral's name for it is "bacterial SSU rRNA". It matches the Rfam family "Bacterial small subunit ribosomal RNA", at positions 16 to 429 of the family's 1533-position model. The record is from RNAcentral.
AUCCUGGCUCAGAUUAAACGCUGGCGGCAUGCCUUACACAUGCAAGUCGAACGGCAGCACGGGGCAACCUGGUGGCGAGUGGCGAACGGGUGAGUAAAGCAUCGGAACGUGCCCUGGAGUGGGGGAUAACGUAGCGAAAGUUACGCUAAUACCGCAUAUUCUGUGAGCAGGAAAGCAGGGGAUCGCAAGACCUUGCGCUCUGGGAGCGGCCGAUGUCGGAUUAGCUAGUUGGUGGGGUAAAGGCCUACCAAGGCGACGAUCCGUAGCGGGUCUGAGAGGAUGAUCCGCCACACUGGGACUGAGACACGGCCCAGACUCCUACGGGAGGCAGCAGUGGGGAAUUUUGGACAAUGGGCGGAAGCCUGAUCCAGCCAUGCCGCGUGAGUGAAGAAGGCCUGGUGUAAG